AUAAUGGAAAUAUUUUGAAUUAAAACAAUAAUUUACAUAUGUAUUUCUUUGCAGAGCCUCCGAGUUAUUCGAAAUUCGUAUUAAAGAACUAGAGUUUUAGAAGAAGUAAAGUUUUGCAUAUUUACAAGUCCGGAUCAUCUGUGUGUCCGUCCACAUUCGCUGGUGCAGGGAUUCUCCCUAUUGCAGCCUUUGCAUAUUUAUAAGUCCGGAUCAUUUGUCUGUCCGUCUACAUUCGCUGGUGCAGCGAUUUUUAUAUACUUCCAGGACUCUAAUCUGAUCGCAGAUAC
Rhagoletis zephyria (snowberry fruit fly) is the source of this 287-nucleotide long non-coding RNA. RefSeq lists it as uncharacterized. NCBI's taxonomy places the organism in Eukaryota, Metazoa, Arthropoda, Insecta, Diptera, Tephritidae. The record is from RefSeq and is a predicted model, not a curated record.